CCUACGGGUGGCAGCAGUGGGGAAUAUUGGGCAAUGGGCGCAAGCCUGACCCAGCAACGCCGCGUGAAGGAAGAAGGCUUUCGGGUUGUAAACUUCUUUUGUCAGGGACGAAGCAAGUGACGGUACCUGACGAAUAAGCCACGGCUAACUACGUGCCAGCAGCCGCGGUAAUACGUAGGUGGCAAGCGUUAUCCGGAUUUAUUGGGUGUAAAGGGCGUGUAGGCGGGAAUGCAAGUCAGAUGUGAAAACUAUGGGCUCAACCCAUGGCCUGCAUUUGAAACUGUAUGUCUUGAGUGGUGGAGAGGCAAGCGGAAGUCCGGGUGUAGCGGUGAAAUGCGUAGAGAUACGGAGGAACACCAGUGGCGAAGGCGGAUUGCUGGACAGUAACUGACGCUGAGGCGCGAAAGCGUGGGGAGCAAACAGGAUUAGAUACCCGAGUAGUC
Molecule: ribosomal RNA, 443 nt
Filed under: uncultured bacterium
Lineage: Bacteria
Description: partial 16S ribosomal RNA
Rfam family: Bacterial small subunit ribosomal RNA
Source: RNAcentral